CUUAAUUACUGAGAAAUACUUCACAUGCAUUUUCUCAUUAAUUCUCACAACUUUAUGAAAAGGAGUCUUGCUCUGCUGCCUAGGCUGGAGUGCAGUGGCACAAUCUCAGCUCACUACAACCUCCACCUCCUGAGUUCCAGGGAUUCCCCUGACUGAGCUUCCUGAGCAGCUGGGAUUACAGGCACCUGCCACCAUGCCCGGCUAAUUUUUUUUUUCUUUUAGUAGAGACGGAGUUUCAUCAGGUUGGUCAGGCUGGUCUUGAACUCCUGACCUCAAGUCACUCAGGAGUCGAGGCCUCCUACCUCAGCCUCCCAAAGUGAGCCACCACACCCAGCCUGUUGUUGUAUGUUCUUAUUCAUGCAUUCUCCAAUGC
Molecule: long non-coding RNA, 373 nt
Filed under: Homo sapiens (human)
Lineage: Eukaryota; Metazoa; Chordata; Mammalia; Primates; Hominidae
Description: HSALNT0114929
Source: RNAcentral